GGUGACUUUCCAGACGCGACCUCUUGAGAGAUCAGCAAUUAUCGCGAGACUCGACGGACGGUUCCGCGAGACCACACGCGAUACCCGGGCAGCCCAACCAGCUUCUCAUUUUCAAGGCCUGGAAGACCGCGGUGUGUGGAGUCCUUUUGCGAGUGCGCCAUGGGCAAGGCCAAACCGGCCGGGGCGCGGAGGCAAGCCCCCAAGGCGCCGGCGAAGACCAGCCCUAACCCGUUCGAGGUGAAAGUCAACAGGCAGAAGUUCCAGAUCCUGGGCAGGAAGACGCGCCACGACGUCGGGCUGCCCGGCGUGUCGCGCGCGCGGGCCAUCAGGAAGCGCACCCAGACUUUACUAAAGGAGUACAAAGAAAGGGAUAAGUCCAAUGUGUUUAAAGACAGGCGCUUUGGGGAGUAUGACCACAGCCUGAGCCCAGAGGAGAAGAUGACAGCGCGGUUUGCGCUGGAACAGCAGCGACAUCAUGAGAAAAAAAGCAUCUACAACCUGAAUGAAGACGAGGAGUUGACACACUAUGGCCAGUCUCUGGCGGACAUCGAGAAGCACAGUGACAUUGUGGACAGCGACAGUGACACUGACGGGCCAGGAGCCUUGUCUGCUGAGCUGACCACUGCCCACUUUGGAGGUGGUGGUGGGCUCCUGCAGCAGAAGACCACCCCACAGGAAGAGGGGGGCAAGCCGAAGUCACGAAAGGAGCUGAUUGAAGAGCUCAUUGCCAAGUCCAAGCAGGAGAAGAGGGAGAGACAGGCUCAGCGGGAAGAUGCCCUCGAGCUCACCGAGAAGCUGGACCAGGACUGGAAAGAAAUCCAAACUCUCCUGUCGCACAAAGCUCCCAAGUCUGGGAACAGAGAGGAGGAGAAGCCCAAGCCUGACGCGUAUGAUAUGGUGGUCCGUGAGCUGGGCUUCGAGAUGAAGGCAAAGCCCUCAAACAGGAUGAAGACAGAAGUGGAGCUGGCAAAGGAGGAGCAGGAGCGGCUAAGGAAGCUGGAGGCUGAGAGGCUUCGAAGGAUGUUGGGAAAGGAUGAGGAUGCAGAAAGGAAGACACCGAAACACUUGUCAGUGGAUGAUCUGAACGACGGCUUCAUACUGGACAGAGAUGACAGGCGUCUCCUUUCAUACAAAGAUGGAAAGAUGAACGUCGAGGAGGGUGUUGAGGAAGAGCGAAGUAAGGGAGCCGGCAGCCAGGAGAGCCAAGAGGAGGAGGAGGACGGAGAGGAGGUGGAUGGUGCAGACAGCCACUCGGACCUGGACUCCAGCGCGGAGAGCGUGGCAGGGGGCACUGAGCCAGCGGAGGGGCAGUGUCCAGCUCCUGGCGGGGGGCCAAAGGGUGACACUGGGAAAGCGUGCAAAGCCUCCAGCAGCGAGCUGCCCUACACCUUCGAAGUGCCUGAGUCCCGUGAGGAGCUGAAGUCGUUGCUGUCAGGCAGAUCAGCGGAGGAGCAGCUCCUGGUGGUGGAGAGAAUUCAGAAAUGCAACCAUCCCAGCCUCGCUGUAGGAAACAAAGCAAAACUGGAAAAGCUGUUUGGCUUCCUUUUGGAAUAUGUUGGAGAUUUGGCCACAAGUGACCCACCAGACCUCAAUGUCAUUGAUAAGUUGGUUGUGCCACUGUAUCACCUCUGCCAGAUGUUUCCCCAGUCUGCAAGCAGCUCUGUGAAGUUUGUUCUCCGAGAUGCCAUGCAUGACAUGGAGGAGAUGAUCGAGACCAAGGGCCGGGCCACGUUUCCUGGCUUGGAUGUGCUCAUUUACCUGAAAAUUGCCGGGCUGCUGUUUCCGACCUCUGACUUCUGGCACCCUGUUGUAACCCCUGCCCUGCUGUGCAUGAGCCAGAUCCUCACCAAGUGCCCAGUGCUGUCCCUCCAGGACGUGGUGAAAGGCCUGUUCGUGUGCUGCCUCUUCCUGGACUUCGUGUCUCUGUCGCGGAGGCUCAUCCCAGAGCUCAUGAACUUCCUCCUUGGCGUUCUGUAUAUCGCAGCCCCGAACAAGCAAGGCUACGGUUCCACCGUGGUGCACCCUUUCAGAGCGCGUGGGAAGAACUCCGAACUGCUCUUGGUCUCAGACAGAGAGGACACAGCCACGUGGCAGAGGGGAAGCCUCUCGCUGCGCUGGGCGAGCGGGCGCAGUGUCCCAACCACGGCUGAGGCCAACCACAUCAGACUGUCCUGCCUGGCUGUGGCGCUGGCCCUGCUGAGGCACUGUGUGACCAUGUACAGCGCUCUCCCGUCCUUUCACACCGUCGUCAGGCCCCUCCGAGCCCUCCUGGCGGAGCACCAGGCAGAGCGCAGUCACCCUCCUGAGCUGCAGACAGACCAGGGAUGGCUGUGGUGCAGGCACAGACCGAUGCUAAUCUGAGCUCCUGGGUUCUGGGACACCUGUGCAAGGGAUGACAGACCCAGCAUUGCAGAGUGGCUUCUAGAAGGCUCCUCAGAAGCCCAGGAGCUGUCUCAGAACAUCCUGAGUGAUUUGGAAAGCCAGAAGCAGCUGUACCGGCCGCUGAUCUGUGAGAAGAGCAAGCCGGUCCCCCUGAAGCUCUUCACCCCCCGCCUGGUCAAAGUCCUCGAGUUUGGGAGGAAACAAGGCGGCAGCAGCAAGGAAGAGCAGGAGAGGAAGCGGCUGAUCCACAAACACAAGCGGGAGUUUAAAGGUGCCGUCCGGGAGAUCCGAAGGGACAACCAGUUCCUAGCCAGGAUGCAGCUCUCAGAGACCAUGGAACG
RNA transcript from Cavia porcellus (domestic guinea pig), 2723 nucleotides. It is a transcript of the gene named NOP14 nucleolar protein, with no coding region annotated. The record is from RefSeq and is a predicted model, not a curated record. Lineage: Eukaryota; Metazoa; Chordata; Mammalia; Rodentia; Caviidae. The transcript has 18 exons.